AAGGUUUUAGCUUAAUAAAAGUAUCUGGGUUGCAUUCAGGGGAUGUAAGAUAAAGUCUUACAAGUCUUA
Molecule: transfer RNA, 69 nt
Filed under: Plethodon elongatus (Del Norte salamander)
Lineage: Eukaryota; Metazoa; Chordata; Amphibia; Caudata; Plethodontidae
Description: tRNA-Ala
Rfam family: tRNA
About the family: Transfer RNA (tRNA) molecules are approximately 80 nucleotides in length.
Source: RNAcentral